Molecule: ribosomal RNA, 844 nt
Filed under: Aspersentis megarhynchus
Lineage: Eukaryota; Metazoa; Acanthocephala; Palaeacanthocephala; Echinorhynchida; Heteracanthocephalidae
Description: SSU rRNA
Rfam family: Eukaryotic small subunit ribosomal RNA
Source: RNAcentral
AAAUUACCCAAUCCCUGAUCGGGGAGGUAGUGACGAGAAAUAGCGAUGCCGCGAUCUUAGGAUUCGGCAAUUGAAAUGAGAACAAUGAAAUGAUUUUAUCGAGAAUCUAUUGGAGGGCAAGUUCUGGUGCCAGCAGCCGCGGUAAUUCCAGCUCGAAAAGCGUAUGUUAAUGCUGCUGCGGUUAAAACGCUCGUCGUUGGACAUCAGGAAAUGAAUUGUAGACAACCUAGUGUUGAUACUACAAUUUCACUCCUUAUAAUGCUUGUUCAUUGUCGAUGCACUUUAUUGUGUGUCACAUAAGAAAGCUAAUGUCACUUUGAGAAAAUUAGUGUGCUCAAAGCAAGCUUAAUGCUUGAAUAAUGUUGCAUAGGAUGACGUAAUAGGGCCUCGGUUCUGUUUCGUUGGUUUACGAAAGCAGAGGUCAUGAUUAAUCGGGACAGACGGGGGCAUUCGUAUUGUGGUGCUAGAAGUGAAAUUCUGUGACCAUCGCAAGACGGACAACUGCGAAAGCAUUUGCCAAGAAUGUUUUCAUUAAUCAAGAACGAAAGUUAGAGGAUCGAAGACGAUUAGAUACCGUCCUAGUUCUAACUGUAAACUAUGCCAACUGGGGAUUCGCCAAUGCAAUUUAGCUUGGCGAGCACCCUUCGGGAAACCAAAGUGAUUGGGUUCCGGGGGGAAGUAUGGUUGCAAAAUCGAAACUUAAAGGAAUUGACGGAGGGGCACACCAGAAGUGGAGCCUGCGGCUUAAUUUGACUCAACGCACAAAAGCUUACUCGGUCCGAACACCGUGAGGAUUGACAGGUUGAAAGCUCUUUCUUGAUCUAGUGGGUGGUGGUGCAUGGCC